Molecule: ribosomal RNA, 478 nt
Filed under: uncultured bacterium
Lineage: Bacteria
Description: partial 16S ribosomal RNA
Rfam family: Bacterial small subunit ribosomal RNA
Source: RNAcentral
GAUGAACGCUGGCGGCGUGCUUAACACAUGCAAGUCGAACGGGAAUUCUUUUAUUGAACCUUCGGUCGAUAUGAUUUAAUUCUAGUGGCGGACGGGUGAGUAACGCGUGGGUAACCUGCCUUGUACAGGGGGAUAACAGUCAGAAAUGGCUGCUAAUACCGCAUAAGCGCACAGAGCUGCAUGGCUCCGUGUGAAAAACUACGGUGGUAUAAGAUGGACCCGCGUUGGAUUAGCUUGUUGGCAGGGUAACGGCCUACCAAGGCGACGAUCCAUAGCCGGCCUGAGAGGGUGAACGGCCACAUUGGGACUGAGACACGGCCCAGACUCCUACGGGAGGCAGCAGUGGGGAAUAUUGCACAAUGGGGGAAACCCUGAUGCAGCGACGCCGCGUGAAGGAAGAAGUAUCUCGGUAUGUAAACUUCUAUCAGCAGGGAAGAGAUUGACGGUACCUGACUAAGAAGCCCCGGCUAACUACGUG